GCGGGGAUGGCCCAGCCUGGUACGGCGCAGGGUUGCUAACCCUGUGGGCGUUAUGCCCGCGCGAGUUCGAAUCUCGCUCCCCGCG
This 85-nucleotide transfer RNA is filed under the name Thermoplasmata archaeon. Its description in RNAcentral is "tRNA-Ser". It matches the Rfam family "tRNA". Rfam says of the family: Transfer RNA (tRNA) molecules are approximately 80 nucleotides in length. Their secondary structure includes four short double-helical elements and three loops (D, anti-codon, and T loops). Lineage: Archaea; Methanobacteriati; Thermoplasmatota; Thermoplasmata. RNAcentral also lists the same sequence under 2 other names. The record is from RNAcentral.